Molecule: ribosomal RNA, 1348 nt
Filed under: metagenome
Description: bacterial LSU rRNA
Rfam family: Bacterial large subunit ribosomal RNA
Source: RNAcentral
CUAUGCUGCCGAGAAAAGCCUCUAGUGAGUGUCGUGGCGGCCCGUACCCCAAACCGACUCAGGUGGUCAGGUAGAGAAUACCAAGGCGAUCGGGUGAACUGUGGUUAAGGAACUCGGCAAAUUGCCCCCGUAACUUCGGGAGAAGGGGGGCCUCCGCUGGUGAUCAGACUUGCUUUGUGAGCUGGUGGGGGUCGCAGAGGCCAGGGGGAAGCGACUGUUUACUAAAAACACAGGUCCGUGCGAAGUCGUAAGACGAUGUAUACGGACUGACGCCUGCCCGGUGCUGGAACGUUAAGGGGACCGGUUAGCGCAUCUUCGGGUGUGCGAGGCUGAGAACUUAAGCGCCAGUAAACGGCGGUGGUAACUAUAACCAUCCUAAGGUAGCGAAAUUCCUUGUCGGGUAAGUUCCGACCUGCACGAAUGGCGUAACGACUUCCCCGCUGUCUCAACCGCAGACCCGGCGAAAUUGCACUACGAGUAAAGAUGCUCGUUACGCGCAGCAGGACGGAAAGACCCCGGGACCUUCACUACAGCUUGACAUUGGCGUUUGGAACGUCUUGUGUAGGAUAGGUGGGAGACUGUGAAGCUGUCACGCUAGUGGCGGUGGAGUCAUUGGUGAAAUACCACUCUGGUCGUUUUGAACGUCUAACUUCGGUCCGUGAUCCGGAUCAGGGACAGUGUCUGGUGGGUAGUUUAACUGGGGCGGUUGCCUCCUAAAGAAUAACGGAGGCGCCCAAAGGUUCCCUCAGCCUGGUUGGUAAUCAGGUGUCGAGUGUAAGUGCACAAGGGAGCUUGACUGUGAGACCGACGGGUCGAGCAGGAGCGAAAGCUGGGACUAGUGAUCCGGCGGUGGCAUGUGGAAGCGCCGUCGCUCAACGGCUAAAAGGUACCCCGGGGAUAACAGGCUGAUCUUCCCCAAGAGUCCAUAUCGACGGGAUGGUUUGGCACCUCGAUGUCGGCUCGUCGCAUCCUGGGGCUGGAGUAGGUCCCAAGGGUUGGGCUGUUCGCCCAUUAAAGCGGUACGCGAGCUGGGUUUAGAACGUCGCGAGACAGUUCGGUCCCUAUCCGCUGCGCGCGCAGGAGACUUGAAAGGAGCUGUCCCUAGUACGAGAGGACCGGGACGGACGAACCACUGGUGUGCCAGUUGUUCCGCCAGGAGCAUGGCUGGUUGGCUACGUUCGGAAGGGAUAACCGCUGAAAGCAUCUAAGCGGGAAGCUCGCCUUGAGAUGAGGUCUCCCACCACGUGAGUGGGUAAGGCCCCCGGGAGACGACCGGGUUGAUAGGCCGGAGGUGGAAGCAUGGUAACGUGUGGAGCUGACCGGUACUAAUAGGCCGAGGACUUGACCA